GACCCAAUACUUUAAAAUAAAAGAUCUGAUUUGCAUUUAGAAAAUAAGUGUUUACACUUUUGGGUCA
Molecule: transfer RNA, 67 nt
Filed under: Drupina grossularia
Lineage: Eukaryota; Metazoa; Mollusca; Gastropoda; Neogastropoda; Muricidae
Description: tRNA-Ala
Source: RNAcentral